CCUACGGGAGGCAGCAGUGGGGAAUAUUGCACAAUGGGCGAAAGCCUGAUGCAGCAACGCCGCGUGAAGGAAGACGGUUUUCGGAUUGUAAACUUCUAUCAAUAGGGAAGAAAGAAAUGACGGUACCUAAAUAAGAAGCCCCGGCUAACUACGUGCCAGCAGCCGCGGUAAUACGUAGGGGGCAAGCGUUAUCCGGAAUUACUGGGUGGAAAGGGAGAGUAGGCGGCAAGGUAAGCGAGAUGUGAAAGCCUUAAGCUAAACUUGAGGAUUGCAUAAGAAACUAUGUAGCUAGAGUACAGGAGAGGAAAGCGGAAUUCCUAUGGUAGCGGUGAAAGGCGUAGAUAUUAGGAGGAACACCAGUGGCGAAGGCGGCUUUCUGGACUGAAACUGACGCUGAGGCUCGAAAGCGUGGGGAGCGAACAGGAUUAGAUACCCUGGUAGUC
This 443-nucleotide ribosomal RNA is filed under the name uncultured bacterium. RNAcentral's name for it is "partial 16S ribosomal RNA". It matches the Rfam family "Bacterial small subunit ribosomal RNA", at positions 338 to 795 of the family's 1533-position model. The record is from RNAcentral.